AGUGAACGCUGGCGGUAGGCCUAACACAUGCAAGUCGAACGGCAGCACAGUAAGAGCUUGCUCUUACGGUUGGCGAGUGGCGGACGGGUGAGGAAUACAUCGGAAUCUACUUUUUCUUGGGGGAUAACGUAGGGAAACUUACGCUAAUACCGCAUACGACCUACGGGUGAAAGCAGGGGAUCUUCGGACCUUUCGCGAUUGAAUGAGCCGAUGUCGGAUUAGCUAGUUGGCGGGGUAAGGGCCCACCAAGGCGACGAUCCGUAGCUGGUCUGAGAGGAUGAUCAGCCACACUGGAACUGAGACACGGUCCAGACUCCUACGGGAGGCAGCAGUGGGGAAUAUUGGACAAUGGGCGCAAGCCUGAUCCAGCCAUACCGCGUGGGUGAAGAAGGCCUUCGGGUUGUAAAGCCCUUUUGUUGGGAAAGAAAAGCAGCAGGUUAAUACCCCGCUGUUCUGACGGUACCCAAAGAAUAAGCACCGGCUAACUUCGUG
RNAcentral lists this ribosomal RNA (492 nucleotides) under uncultured bacterium. RNAcentral describes it as "partial 16S ribosomal RNA". It matches the Rfam family "Bacterial small subunit ribosomal RNA", at positions 29 to 507 of the family's 1533-position model. The record is from RNAcentral.